RNAcentral lists this ribosomal RNA (465 nucleotides) under Vreelandella stevensii. RNAcentral's name for it is "partial 16S ribosomal RNA". It matches the Rfam family "Bacterial small subunit ribosomal RNA", at positions 338 to 795 of the family's 1533-position model. The record is from RNAcentral. Lineage: Bacteria; Pseudomonadati; Pseudomonadota; Gammaproteobacteria; Oceanospirillales; Halomonadaceae.
CCUACGGGGGGCUGCAGUGGGGAAUAUUGGACAAUGGGGGGAACCCUGAUCCAGCCAUGCCGCGUGCGUGAAGAAGGCCCUCGGGUUGUAAAGCACUUUCAGUGAGGAAGAACGCCUGGUGGUUAAUACCCAUCAGGAAAGACAUCACUCACAGAAGAAGCACCGGCUAACUCCGUGCCAGCAGCCGCGGUAAUACGGAGGGUGCGAGCGUUAAUCGGAAUUACUAGGCGUAAAGCGCGCGUAGGUGGCUUGAUAAGCCGGUUGUGAAAGCCCCGGGCUCAACCUGGGAAUGGCAUCCGGAACUGUCAAGCUAGAGUGCAGGAGAGGAAGGUAGAAUUCCCGGUGUAGCGGUGAAAUGCGUAGAGAUCGGGAGGAAUACCAGUGGCGAAGGCGGCCUUCUGGACUGACACUGACACUGAGGUGCGAAAGCGUGGGUAGCAAACAGGAUUAGAUACCCGUGUAGUC